RNAcentral lists this ribosomal RNA (253 nucleotides) under uncultured bacterium. RNAcentral's name for it is "partial 16S ribosomal RNA". It matches the Rfam family "Bacterial small subunit ribosomal RNA", at positions 524 to 776 of the family's 1533-position model. The record is from RNAcentral.
UACGAAGGGGGCUAGCGUUGUUCGGAUUUACUGGGCGUAAAGCGCACGUAGGCGGUUUGUUAAGUUAGAGGUGAAAUCCCAAGGCUCAACCUUGGAAUUGCCUUUAAGACUGAUGAACUAGAGUUCGAGAGAGGGCAGUAGAAUUCCCAGUGUAGAGGUGAAAUUCGUAGAUAUUGGGAGGAAUACCGGUGGCGCCAGCGGCUUCCUUGCUCGAUACUGACGCUGAGGUGCGAAAGCGUGGUUAGCAAACAGG